Molecule: ribosomal RNA, 446 nt
Filed under: Bacillus subtilis
Lineage: Bacteria; Bacillati; Bacillota; Bacilli; Caryophanales; Bacillaceae
Description: bacterial SSU rRNA
Rfam family: Bacterial small subunit ribosomal RNA
Source: RNAcentral
GACGAACGCGGCGGCGUGCCUAAUACAUGCAAGUCGAGCGGACAGAUGGGAGCUUGCUCCCUGAUGUUAGCGGCGGACGGGUGAGUAACACGUGGGUAACCUGCCUGUAAGACUGGGAUAACUCCGGGAAACCGGGGCUAAUACCGGAUGGUUGUUUGAACCGCAUGGUUCAAACAUAAAAGGUGGCUUCGGCUACCACUUACAGGUGGACCCGCGGCGCAUUAGCUAGUUGGUGAGGUAACGGCUCACCAAGGCAACGAUGCGUAGCCGACCUGAGAGGGUGAUCGGCCACACUGGGACUGAGACACGGCCCAGACUCCUACGGGAGGCAGCAGUAGGGAAUCUUCCGCAAUGGACGAAAGUCUGACGGAGCAACGCCGCGUGAGUGAUGAAGGUUUUCGGAUCGUAAAGCUCUGUUGUUAGGGAAGAACAAGUACCGUUCGAAU